Molecule: long non-coding RNA, 3667 nt
Organism: Diachasmimorpha longicaudata
Lineage: Eukaryota; Metazoa; Arthropoda; Insecta; Hymenoptera; Braconidae
Exons: 3
Source: RefSeq, a predicted model, not a curated record
GUGGAUUGUCGGUUUAUACUCAAUCGAAGAUUCACUCGUUUGUUCAAAUAUCGUGAGUCUCGGUGACUGACUCGAGGAUAUCUUGUUGCCCCUGGAGCCUGGUGAUUGAUAAAUACCGGGGGUUGGUGAUGAAGCAGCGAGGCUGUUGUACAUCAUGAAAUCUCUUCUCCUCAUCGUAAUUCUCGUAGAACUGAUAAUUAUUUGCCAGUGGCUGAUAUGCUUGGAGUGUAUGCUGAGAUCGUGUGAACUCGGGUAAGCCACGAUGAUCCGACGGACUGCUGAGAUCCAUAAGAUUGUUUGGUGAAUAACGUUCGUAAUGAUUCGGUGAAUUGCUUGCUGAGCUGCCAGCACUAUGAGGAAUUCCAGAGCUAUCAGCAAGAACGUAGAGAUUCUGAACGGCUAGUUGGCCAGAGCUUACUUGCUGUGCUUGCAUCAUGCCGAUGAUGGGACAUCCAUCGACUUGACAGAGUGAUGCUCCAUCCAGCCGAACCCGCCUCUUUGCCACGAUGUCUUAGGCCCCACCCCGGCAUUUUCUUUUCUUUCCGUUUACUGUCAGCGCGUCUCCACCCACGCACGCCAGUGUGGAGCCUCAGGGCGAGAUGAAACGGCCAACAAGAUGCUUCCAUCAACAACGGGAGAAGGGGAGAUAGCAUUGGAUUGUGUUAUGGAAUCGAGGUUUUUUUGCUAUCAAUUUUUUGGCGAAUUUUUCAACAAGUACGAAACACCCUUUUCUUUUAUGAAAAUCUCUCACGAGGGAAUAAAAAAUGGGGAUUAUUGGAUAAUUUAGGGGUUCAGUUAAGGGUAAUCCAAUAUAUUUUCAUAUCAGACUGAACGAUUCACUAAAAUUGAACGGAAAUGGGAAUUUUCGUGUUUAAGAGGAGAAAAGAAAAAUUGUCAACUGUGACGUGAUAAAACUCACACAUUGUUGCUUAUAAUAUUGAUCUUAAUCGAUGGAUCUAAGGUGGUCUAAGAUGUCAAUUUGAAGAUCUCGAUGGGAUCUUGAAUCUGAUAUAUGGUAUAUUCCCACUGGUUGAAUCUACAAUCUCAAUAAUUGGCAAAAACUAUCAUUUUUCAAUUGUGAUAUAACGUAACAAAUGGAAAUAACGUACAAUAACUCGACGGAAAUCCAAUGAAAGUGGAUUUAUCGUACACCAUUUUGCAGAACUAUUAACACACUUCAAAAUGGUCUAUAGAUAGAUUUCCCCCACGUAUGGGUUUUACAUCUUAUACAACAGCGGUUUGAGUCCUAGUUUGCUAAUACAUACUUUAUACAUCUGUCACACUAUUUUUAAAAAAAACUAUCCACUGAUGCAUAAUUUUUCGAGAACGUAUUGUAUAGAAGACGAACAGUAAGCGAUUGCAAUAGAGAUAAAUCCUUUCAAUAUUCCAUUUCUCGAUCACUAGGGAACCAUCUCCGUAAGGUUUUCCGUCCUCGACUGAGAUUUAGUUCUAUCGUAUCUCGUAACUUAUCCUGUAACAUGACUUGAUCACAAUUUCAGAUGUUUUCAGAGGCCUCUGGCUGCCAUACCUGCCCUCCCCCGCUGCUUAUCAUGUUUGGUGAACCCUCUGAUAUAGUUGUGCAUUGCCACCUCGGGUGGCCAAAUGGUCUGCAGAUAUAUUUGCAGAGAUUAAGUAGAACUUCGAAGAAUUAUGUCAAAGUGACUGUGUCCAGCGAAACCUGAAAAUUAAUUUUUUGCUUAAGACUCUCAUCUCUCUUAUAUUUAUUAUAUUAUAAUAUUUAAUUUUUUGAAAAAGGUAUAUUAUGUGGAUAUUAUAUGGUACACGAAGAGAAAAAUUCUUUGAAAAUUGCGUACCUCAUCGGUAAUUUGCCAGCAAAAAUAAUAUUCGGUAAAAAUUACGGAGUAGUUAGACAUUUUUUCAAUGAACUUUCAGAAAAAGUUCAGUUCAAGUUCAUUCAGGGAAAAAAUGUGUAUCUGUUCCGUAAUUUUGAUUGAAUACUAUUUUGUCUGACAGAGUAGGAAACAAAUACAUAAUUUUGAACGAAUUUUUCUGUCCGUGAACCAAAGCAAAAUAUCACGAUGACACAAAACGUUAGAUGAGUUUUUUAAUGAAGGAUUGGAAUUCAUCAAUUUUUAUAAUUUUUCAUUUCAAUGGAAAAUUAAUCAUAAUAUCAGUGGCUGUGAAUAAUGUCUAUAAAUAAUGAAUAAUAAAGUUUGCAUUGAGUCGGGUAAUGAAAUUAAUCGGGAUAUUCGGUAUAAUGAGAAUUUUCACUUUGAUCAGUCCAAUAAUAAUGAUUGUUAUUUAUGAUCUAUGGUAGAACCAGAUUGAGAACUUGAUAUUGGAGUUCAGCCAACUCCCUUUUACCCGUCAUCAUCCUAUCAACUCGUCUGGGAAUCAACAACUUCAACUUUCUUUAUUUAUAGAAAUAUUUUUCUCGUCAAGUCAAUAAUAAAAUAUUUGGGGAAAAAUUUUUGUUCUCUUCGAAAUUCAGGUAUAUUUCGGCAAGAUGGUCCCCAGUGAGGAUGAAUGAACCACCAGCAAGGCAAUUAUUACCUGGGCGGGAAGUGGAUGUAAUAAAAGGCCGGCAUUGUCGUUGUCAAUACUCUCAAAACCGUGGGGGAAUUCCCAGAAAUUCAAUGGCACCAAACGCAGUGGAUUAGUGGAUAAAUCCAAAGACAUUUAAUUAAUAAAUAAGAAAAAAGCUAAAUCGCAGAAAAAAAUGGAGCUUUUUGCAAUGAGAACAGACAGGUUUGGCAUAGGUUCCAAGAUCCUCAGCCAAUUUUGCAUUGGAUUCGCAGGCAAAUCUAAUGAAAUUCAAUCGAUCAACGAAAACGGAAGAAAUUCCCAGACAAAAAAAACGCCGCUCUUUGCAAUGAGAACUGCAAGGUUUGGCAAGAUCUCCAAAAUCCUGAGAAAAUUUUCACCAUGUGUUGAACACACGGUAGCCAGGGGGUCCUCCAUAGGUACAGCAAGAUUGUUAUGUCCUCGGCCAAUCCGCAUCGUCUUCAACUGCGUCUGCCACUUGUGAGGCAGGACAUUAUUUGCCACUUUCCAACAUGUGUCGCUCACCAGCAACUUUUAUGUGUUUACAGCACCCACCCAAAAUUUUCAUUUACAACCGUUUCAACUUUAGCACAUGUGUUCGGAAAAAAUAUUUUCAGUCCAACAUUUUGCUUCAGAAAGGUAAAAAAAAGUUUAAAUAACAUAUACUCAAAAACGAUAAAUUUUCGAAUUAAAUUGCUGAUUUCUUCGAUUGGUUCGCCUAAGGGCUGAUGAUUAAUUGUUUCAUAAAAUUUUAUACAUAUUUUGUAUUAAAAAAUAAUGAUUUUCAGGCGUCAAGGGAUAAGUGAGAAGAGUAACCUAUGGUUUUCAAUGCCAAUAUUUUUCCAAGUCAUCUAUUCUUUUCCUCCCUCAGCGAUUAUCACAUUUGACUUUUGGUGCGAACCGGAUUAACAACUGGAUUUUCCAAAAUUUUCUAAGCUGCUACCGUUGGUUCACGUGGAGCAGUUGACAACUCAUAUAUUUGAGUUGAGGAUAAGCUGGGAUUGACAAAGUCUCUCCGUGGGUUUAUUUUUUCUUUUGUUUUUCGUCCGAGAGUGUUGAUCAGCAUAUGCUCCAAGCAAAAUGUCUUUUUUCCCAGAAAAAAAAAGUUUUUUCUGUUUUCCCUUUAAAAAAAGCAUGUAACGUUUUCUGUCAGCUCUCUUGG